Non-coding RNA from Podarcis lilfordi (Lilford's wall lizard), 8234 nucleotides. Lineage: Eukaryota; Metazoa; Chordata; Lepidosauria; Squamata; Lacertidae. The record is from the annotation of a GenBank genome assembly.
CAUGUGAAUAGUGCCUCUGGGGGCUGGCCAGGGGUGGUGGUUGCCUGUGUGACAACCCUGAAGUAUAUUCCUGGUACAAGAUCUGCAGGAGGUGAAGGGAGCUAGGGAAGCAAUUGAAGGUUUCAGGUAUGGGUGGGAAAACAUAAUCUGAACGUCAAGGCUACCUUUAGUUGGCUAGCAGACCUAUCAAUUGAGAAAAAAACAAAAGGGUAGACGUGAAACACAACUUUCUCAGAGGCCAGGUCUAUCCAGGCCUUGCUGCUUUCCAGUUGCCAGAUCUGUUAUCUGAUGCUAGUUAUGGUUGUUGAUUUGGAAUAUUCACUCUCAGCCUCGGGAAAAUCCCUGCAGAUGCCCAUUUCCUUGUGUUCUUCAUUAUUUAGCCCAGGAUUAUUAUUAUUAUUAUUAUUAUUAUUAUUAUUAUUAUUUAUACCCCGCCCAUCUGGCUGGGCUUCCCCAGCCACUCUGGGCGGCUUCCAAGCAAAUAUUAAAAUACAGCAAUACAUCAAACAUUAAAAGCCUUCCUUCAGAUGUCUUCUAAAAGUUUGGUAGUUGUCGUUCUCUUUGACAUCUGGUGGGAGGGCGUUCCACAGGGCGGGCACCACUACCGAGAAGGCCUUCUGCCUGGUUCCCUGUAACUUGGCUUCUCACAGCCAGGGAACCACCAGAAGGCCCUCGGCACUGGACCUCAGUGUCCGGGUAGAACAAUGGGGGUGGAUAUCCUAAGUACCACUUGUACAUCCAAAACUGAUCACUGAGAUCACCCAGAGGAGCACUGUUAGUUGUCUCCCAUGGACUGGAAGCACACCUCAGGUCAAUGAGAAGUCAUGCUUCAGUGUUGUGGACCCAGGUCUGUGAAAGAUCUCCUACAAUAAGUCAGACAGGCACUAUCGCUGCUGAGUUUCAAAUGCCUUAUUAAAACCAUUUUUGCCACUGGCCCCACCCACCACUGACAUGUGAUCCCUGGACUGAAAAGGGUUCCUCAAUCCUGGUGUAAAGAAACCACUCACCUGGGAGUAAGCAACAAUGCACUCAGUGGGCCUUACUUUUGAGCUGAUGUGUAGGAUUGCACUGUCCAGCUCCCACGGUGUUGAUGCCAACCCACCAUUUCUGUGCCAUUCAGCAAACUGCCCUUGCUCUGUCAUCCCUGCCCCUUCUCUGCCCCCCGCUGCUCUUUUCCUGACCCCUUUGCUGCCACAGUACAGUUCUUACGACUGUCUUUAUUUUCCCUAUCUCAGAGAGACCGAACUGGAGUUGUGCCAUUUUGGAAAUCCCCAACUCAGCCGUUCUCAGUGAGAACAAAAUAGGCCAGAGGCUAGAGUUUCAUUUGAAUAUAAUAUUUUUAAUGCUCUUGGCGGACUUUGGGAAACCUCACUGAAUCUCUUCCUGGCUCGGAACCCUUCCUACCAUUUCCUGGUUCAGAACCCAUCCUUCCUAGUCUUCCCACAAUCAAGGAAGAAUCUGCCACAGCUCGUUUAUGAUGCUUUCCUAAAUCUGAUGUGACAAGAUCAAGUUCCAUUUACAAGGGUCAGGGAGUGUAGUCAUUAGCUACAGCUAAAGCAAAAUCCCAUCGUGCAAUCACACAGUUUUGGCAGCAGCUUUGAGGAGUGAGUCUUAAGCCUUUGGAAAUACGACGACAUAUACAGUAGGAAAUUUCCAAUUGCAAAGGAAAUGGUAAUGACUCGAGCAACGGUUAGUUCUCACACUUUUAAGGACAAGUAGCAGCAAUGUGAAUCAUCAAAAAUAAAUUUGAAGUCUGUUUCUUGGUUCUUGAGGGUCUGCAGGUGUGCCAAAGCAUACAUGUUCUUCAUACUUUCCAGUAUCGGCAAACCAGAGCCUCUCACUUGAGAAAAAUAUCCCCUAUUCCAACAGCGUCUGAGGUCAAUUCCCAGACUCCAAGUGAUCUGCAUUUGUAGGGGGCGGCUGUGCAGCCCAAUUUCACAAUUAGGGUAGAAUAGAAGACUGUCACAAGGCAUUUACAUCUAACCAAUCAGGGGCAGCUCAUGUGGUGCCUCCCAGAUGUUGUUAGCCUACAACUACCAUCAUCCCUAGGGAUGCGGUGGCGCUGUGGGUUAAACCACUGAGCCUAGGACUUGCCGAUCAGAAGGUCGGCGGUUCGAAUCCCCGCAACGGGGUGAGCUCCCGUUGCCCGGUCCCUGCUCCUGCCAACCUAGCAGUUUGAAAGCAUGUCAAAGUGCAAGUCGAUAAAUAGGUACCACUCCGGCAGGAAGGUAAACGGCGUUUCCAUGCGCUGCUCUGGUUCACCAGAAGUGGCAUAGUCAUGCUGGCCACAUGACCCGGAAGCUGUACACUGGCUCCUCGGCCAAUAAAGCAAGAUGAGCGCCGCAACCCCAGAGUCGAUCACGACUGGACCUAAUGGCCAGGGGUCCCUUUACCCUUUACCUUUACCAUCAUCCCUGACUAUGGGCUAUGCUGACAGGGCCUGAUUGGUGGUGUAGUCCAAGCACAUGGCCUCUCUGUGCUAUCGUUCAUAAACCAACCCCUGCCCUGAGGCAGAAUUUACAAUCUAAAUGUCAUGAGCCCAGCGGCACUGUUGUGACUGGGCUUGAGCUGGCAGGCUCGGAUGGGGGGAGGAGGAGGAAGUCGAUAGUGGACUGAAUUGUGGGAACCUUGGUUGGGAGGUAUCUCCUCAUUCCAUCCCUAGUCAGUUUAGAAGGGUGAGCAGGGAUGCUGGCUCUCUCCUCCCACAACACUCCUGCAGAGUGGAGAGCCUCUUGGGAGGUCUUUGAUCAGCCAGUGGGGAGGCUGAAGAGGAGGUGGCAGCAAAUCAACAGGAGGGUGCAGUCUUGUUACCUAGAUCUGUCAGUGGGAGCAAACCCACCUGCCUCGACUGAGUGCGUGCUUGCAAUCUUGAUAUUCCUGCAAGGCAAGAGAGUGGGAAGGUUGGAGGAACUUGUUGGGAUAUCUUUGUUGCCUCCUUCCAGUUCUGAACUUCUUGCCUUGCUCCUUGACUCAUGAAUCAUGAGUCCUGAGCACUGUGUCUGCUACGGAACAUGUACUGUUACUUGCCUAAAUAAAUAUCUCUUUCCUAUUUCCAAGUAAGAGCUUCUAUCUGCGUGUAUUGAGUGGGACACUAAAAUUAAACUAAGAGACAGCAAUAGAGGGGUGGGUGAAAUACAGAGGCAAGGGUAACACAGAAAGUAUAUGUGUUGAAGUUCAGCUACACAUACUUACAAGUUAGUUUCGGGGGGGGAAUUGAGUCACUAAAAGACUAGUCUAUGAAUGUCAUGGAUAAUGUGCUUUUCGAAUAGUGAUGUGCUGAGGUUUGUGCUUCUGGUUUUGGAAAUAAGACCCUUAGGAAUUAAGCACUUGCAAUGCACACCUCAAAUGUGAGGUGGGCAUUAUGACCCGUGCAUUCUUCUUCAGCUGAAAGUUUUAUCCAGACUGGAAAAGAAUGUUCCUCCUCUCCUCCAAUUUAUCUGGUUGGUAUUCUGACGGUGGUAAAUUCUUGGCUCACGCAUAGCUGCUUUUAACACAUUAAGGGUGGCCAGACUUUGAAUUCAAAUAAGGUGGAAGUGAUGCAAGGAUCAAUAAUUACAAAAUAAGAAUGUGAUGCAGAUUUCUCAGGUGAAGCAAUGAAGUGUAUGGUUUAAAUUUAAGGGGAAACUAUUGCAAGAUAUUAUACUGUUGGCAUCUCAGACCAAACACAGUGAACAAGAUCUACAAAGUGAAAAUAAAACAAAUUGCUUACCUAUGUGGUGGGCAUGUCUUGCCAUGCAGACAUGAGCCAGGUUAAGAAGGUGGUGCUUAGAAUAAUCAAGGUAUACCAGUACAUACCAAUGCAACAGUACUUUUUUGACCAAAAGUGCAUGGCUCCUUCAUAUCAAACCGUCUAACUGCUGCCAAACUUAAAAUAACAAAAAAGGAGAAAUUUAUAAAUACCUACAUGUAAAUUAAUGGAUUGGCAGAGUACAACAAUUCUCCAAAUUAAGACAAAGGUUCAAGGAACAUAGCAUAACGAAAACAGGUAUUGUAGAACAACGUCCUCUAUUUAUUUUUGAAAGCAGAAUUAUAAUAGGGAUGAUCCAUAAAUAAACAUAUACCUGAAUUCCGCUCACCAUUUUUAUAUCUAUGAUCUGGAAUCUUUUAGAUUGAUGCUUUAAGAUAUGGUUUUUAUACUGCAAUGUAGUAUGUGUGUGUGUGUGUUUUACUAUAUAUGUUGUUCUUUUGCUAUUUUUGUUGGGCGUUGCUUCAGAAGCAUUUCUUGGGAAGCAGUUUGUAAAUCCUUGAUUCAUUAGUCAGUUUUGUAAAAUGCUUUUCUAACUGUAAUACCUCUCUCUCUCUCUCUCUGUGUGUGUGUGUGUGUGUGUGUGUAUGCACAGAAGAAUAAGUUGGGUUGCAUCUAUCAUAAAAUUUAUUUUUGCCCUUUGAAUGAGAAGGUCUAAAAGGCACCAAAAGUGCAACGUUUGUUUCUGACCUAAAUCCGGAAUGGUUUCUCAUUCAUGUAUAUGCUUCUUUAUCACACACAUUGAUGCUGCACUAACCUGAAAUUACCCGAAACAGCUUGUAGAUGCUCAAAAGGCGCAGGUUUUCCCACCUGAAUUCCUACCUGGGAGAGGGCGGGAGCUUGGGGUAGCUGGUUUUCAUUUCAGCGUGUCUCAAAGAGAUCAGUUCCUGUGCUGAAAGACAAGCCCAAGACAAUGUUUUACAGAGCAGAAGAUAUUGUGAGGGACCAAUUAUCACAUAAGUGGUUCUCACGGCUUGGGUUGGCACUGUGUGCCAGGUUGCACAUUAACCUCUUUCACUUCAUUUUACCCAGUUUACUCAACAUUCUCAAGUGGUUGCUUUGUCAAUUGUUCCGCCUGCUGAUGUUUCGACAGAUGAUAGCCCCUUGAUGCCAGCUUAGCAUUGCUAAUAAGAAAUAGGCCAGCACGAAACUUUAGACCAAGGAGGUGCUCUUGCAGAAUGGAGCUGAGGUGGGUGGGGAGUGGGGGAUUGAUUCUGAACGAUCAUUACAUUUUGCUAAACCAACCAUCCCACUUUUGUUUCUUCCGCAUGCAAAGACAAUACUCACUUUAUCCUAGAAGAAAAGUAUUGCAUGCGCAGAUGUGUAGAUGUGGGGGGGAGCAGUUCUUUUCUGCUGCGCUGUAUUCUCAGCAGUUGUGGCAGCGGUGGUGCCAGGGGGAUGUUAGCAGGAUAGCCACAAGUAUAACCAUGGUUGCAUAACAGAGAGAAUAUUUGUCAUGUACAGUGGAACCUCGGUUUUUGAAUGUAAUCCGUUCUGGAAGUCUGUUUGACUUCCAAAACAUUCAAAAACCGAGGAUCAAAAGGCUGUCAGCAAGUUUAAUGGGGGAGGAGGAGUGAAAAACGUGCCUCGGAAGCUGUUCAACUUCUGAGGCAUGUUCAAAAUCGGAAGCAUUCACUUCCGGGUUUUCAGCAUUCGACUUCCAAAACGUUCAGCAGCCAAGACUUUUGAAAACCGAGGUUUGACUGUAUUCCAAGACACAAGAUACCAAGUAAUUUCAAACAACGUUGGCAGUUCUGUAACCAAGGCAAACCAAGUUUGUACGCGUCUCUCUCAGCUAGGGAUGAGGGGGAAAGUUUGAUUCAAUUUGCAUUAAGUAGGUGAACCUACUUAAUUCACACGUUCUGAAACAAUUAUGAACUGAAACACAGCAAUCCAUCUAAAGUUGCACUUUCCUGAAUUUUGCAAGGCAGUUUCCCCGCCAAGUAAUGUGUACAAAAAUACAUAUACUAGGGUGAAGUACGCAUAUUAGUGAAAAGAACAAAUGUACAAUCCUGGGCAAAAUUGCUUUGCAAAUAAAUAUGCGUAUUAGGGAAAACAGCAAACAAACGUGUACAUUAGGGUAAAGCAAGUCUAGAGUGGGAGACUAGAGUGAUGUCUGCUGUUUCUAGGAGUUCUUCUCAUUACAAGGCUUUUCUGUGUGAGCUGUGAAUUUCUUUGGACACUGGGUGAGAACCCAGAAGCUGUGAGGGAGGGUGUGUUAGAAGGAAAAUAAACUGACAUUGAUUUAUAUAUAUUAGCAACUUUGAAUUAAUGUAACAUUUUUACAGUGGUACCUCGGGUUACAUACGCUUCAGGUUACAUACGCUUCAGGUUAGACUCAACUAACCCAGAAAUAGUGCUUCAGGUUAAGAACUUUGCUUCAGGAUGAGAACAGAAAUCGUGCUCCGGCGGUGCGGCAGCAGCAGGAGGCCCCAUUAGUUAAAGUGGUGCUUCAGGUUAAGUACAGUUUCAGGUUAAGAACGGACCUCCGGAACGAAUUAAGUACUUAACCCGAGAUACCACUGUAUAUGUAACUCUGUAUUUUUGCAAUAGUUUGUUGCUGCUUCAGUUUUUUGUACAUCUCCUAGAGAUAUUUUAAAAAACAUAUUCAGCAGUAUAGAAAUCAAUCAAUCAAUUUACACUAAAAUGCCAAUUUUUCAAGAACUUUGAAAAAUGCAAAUUGAUGUGCAAAUUUGGAGAAAUGAACUUAAAACUGGAAAAAUGAGAACCUAAAAGUAACCAAAAUUGGCAGAUUAACCCAUCUCUCCUCUCUCUCUCUCUGUCAUCACACAAACAUCUGUACAGAGAAGUCCCUACAAAGUCAACCCCCACUUCAAAUCCAGAACAAGAUUAUAGCCUAACAACUCUGAUCUACAGAUACACUGCAAAGCUACCUUAAGAAAUGUGGUCAAACAUACUGAAACUGUCUUAACUUCCCUCCAAGUCCCUUUUGAUAAUUCCACCUGUCCAGAAACCACCACGUCCCCCCCUUUUUGGUAGUAAUUUCUUCCUGAUCCUUAAUACUUCAUUGACUGUCACUUUCAUUGAAAUAAAGUAGAACAGUAGACUAUGACGUAAGCAUUCACGGACUAGAGUCAGUGUCAUCAGGUUUCAAUGUUUGAGUCCUCUUAAAAUAAUAGGCAUCCUAGUUCUCAACAGAUCCAAUGCAUUGCUGGCAAGAUUUCAUUACAUUUCCUUUCCUGGCGUUUCCACAAGGUGAUCUUAGGGCCUCAAAUAUCUCUUGUGGGUGAGCUCAUGUCAAAUCCAUAGGAGGGAAGAAGGUGUACAAUUCAUACAGACUUUGGAUUUCCCCACUUCUGAGUAGUGUUCUAUAUAAUCAGCCAAUUGCACAUUUAGUCUGCUUUUCUCUCAUACUAGAGGUUACUUAGCAAUAACAACCUUCACACAGGGCUUUUCCUGGGAUUAAUGACAGUCUGGGGGUCAUCAUCUCCUCCCAGUUAGUUAUUAAUCCUCAGGAAACACUUGGUGCCUUGAUCGUUAUUGCUUAAUUAGCAUUGAGAAUGUGUGUGUGCUGGAGAGGAGCAGUGUUAGGUUUCUUUUCAUGUGCCCUGUGAACGGCGGUGGAAGGGCUUUCUCUCAUUAAUUUGUUUUUGGGGGGUCGAGGUGGGAGAAGCAAGCCUUGUGGGCCUUGAAAUUCAGUACAAGGUUAAACCUAUUUAAACAGUCUGAAUUCCCUGUGAAAGCCCAGCUAAAGCCCAGCAUCUGCAGUGUAUCAGGAAAUGCAUUUCCCCAGCUUUAACGGGGUAAAUUUAAAAAAUAAAAUAAAAUCAAGCGUUGUUGUCAACAGGUCAGGGCAAACAAGAGACAGUGAUUGGGAGCAGAAACUGGUCCCCAAAGGGGGCCUUAGGGAGCAAGGGAAACCUUCAGGGGCAAGCAGAAUAACAAGGCCUUCCCCUCCAACAGCCAAGUUUACAAGCCACGUCAAAAAUAAUUGUACAUCAGGAAAGUUUGUGUGUCUUUGUGUGUGAUUCUCCCCCCGCCCCGACUUCCUCGGUGUUCCAGGAAAUGCAGAGGAUUUGAAAAUAAUAAGGCAGAAAUCCCCCUCCCCCAAAGGAAAAAAAACACAUUUAGAAAUGAAUUGGUUCAAUUAAAUUCAUGCAUUAAUCGCAGAUGUUGAGCGUAAAAUGGUAACUGGAUUUUAAUUGGUGUUGCUCCUGCCUUGGGAAGUGCUAAGUGCCCUGUAAUUCAAGCAAUGGACUUAAAAUGUAUUUCCGGACAAGGAAGAAGGCACUUUUUGGGUUUUGAGUUGUGGUGAAACAUAAACACCUUCAAAAUAACAUCUCUAGUAGGGAAUGAAGAUAUAUUAAAUUGAUAUUUCAUUAGCUUUCAUGAUCUCCCUCUUUCUCCCAAACAGAAGAAACCCAGAGCUGCACCCUUCUCCGUCGCUAGUGAAGCCAAAACAUAAUGAUCAGGGAACCAUGGUAGGCAUUCUCAUCAAUGAAUUAAACUGCAAAAGGCAAAAGAAGCC